Long non-coding RNA from Capsicum annuum, 1235 nucleotides. RefSeq lists it as uncharacterized. Lineage: Eukaryota; Viridiplantae; Streptophyta; Magnoliopsida; Solanales; Solanaceae. The transcript is spliced from 4 exons. The record is from RefSeq and is a predicted model, not a curated record.
UAAAACCCAUAAAGGGUCAGCUCCUUAAAGCCGCCCCCUCUUUCAAACUCACACUCUGAAAAAUGCUCUCUCCCUCAAAUCCAAAGAUCUAUGAAGCUGUGAGAGUAUAAUAGUUAAGGGCUGAUUUUUUGCAUUCUCUCUCUCCGAACUCUCUCAUUCAAAAGAAAGUGUUUCUGGCAUCCAGAACAUAAAGCCCAGAUUAAAGCAAACUUUAAGUUAAAAGUUGGGCACAUACUCACUGGCUUGCUAUCAAAAGCUCGUGAAAAAAAAAGAGGCCCAGGUGGAUUCUACCUGAAAAUUGGCAAAAGUUAGUUGACCAUUGGGAGACAGAUUCGAGGUUCAAGCAGAUACGUGAGAUUGGCAAGAAAGCUAGAGCAUCUCUUAAGGGUGGUUCUUUACAUACGAGUGGAGUUCAGAGUCAGGAAAAUGUAAGGAGAAAACUGCCACACAGAUUCUUUACCUAUUGAAACUUUCUUCAAAAUGCUAAACCUUGUUUCUGAACCUGCAAUAUGUGCCAAAAUUUGAGUACUGCUCAGUUGACCUAUAAUUGAUAUCUACAAUGUAUAGAGAAUUUUCGUCAAUCUCUACCAGAAGAUAAGACAGACCUAUCACUUAGCCAAGAGCAGAAUGAGAGAAUAUGAUUAGAUGUUGUUGGUGGCCCGAGUAGGUAUGGAUAUGCUUAUGGAUUUCCCCAACGAACUUUAUGUGAAUUUCAUUUGGAAUUAGAAGGCGUCGGUAGUUUCCAGGAUGAUGAGUCAAGGAAGACAAUUUUGGCUUUGAAGCAGCAAAUAGCUGGGCUAUCUAGCAAAGUUAAUGCCUCGCAGGCUAGGGAAAGGCAAAGAGAUAUACAGUAUGCAGGAAUAAAGGCCCAAUUCGAUGCAUUACUUGCUUCAGGGGGAUUCCCCCUUGUCCCGGUGAUAUAGUGCGCCCUCCUCGACCUCUACAGUCUCUACCUAUUUCACAUGGAGUAUAUGAUCAAUACAGAGAUGUGACUGAGGAGCCCAGCAGUGAUGAAUGUGAUGAGGAUUACUAUGUGAACAAUACACCGCCGCGUUGUUAAAGUUGAGUAUUAUUUAGAUAAUCCAAGCUAUUUAUUUUAUUGUGGUUUAUUUAAAUUCUUAGAUGUUUUUGAAUGCAUUAGAACUUUAAAGUAGUAUGAACAAUAGUAUUGUUAAAUAAUUUAUGACUUUUAUGUUUUGUUCGUUCAAUUUCAAAGUAUUUAAAUUUUAUUUUCA